This 429-nucleotide ribosomal RNA is filed under the name Actinomycetes bacterium. Its description in RNAcentral is "Actinobacteria bacterium partial 16S ribosomal RNA". It matches the Rfam family "Bacterial small subunit ribosomal RNA", at positions 355 to 776 of the family's 1533-position model. The record is from RNAcentral. Lineage: Bacteria; Bacillati; Actinomycetota; Actinomycetes.
UAGGGAAUCUUCCGCAAUGGGCGAAAGCCUGACGGAGCAACGCCGCGUGAGUGAUGAAGGUCUUCGGAUCGUAAAACUCUGUUAUUAGGGAAGAACAAAUGUGUAAGUAACUAUGCACGUCUUGACGGUACCUAAUCAGAAAGCCACGGCUAACUACGUGCCAGCAGCCGCGGUAAUACGUAGGUGGCAAGCGUUAUCCGGAAUUAUUGGGCGUAAAGCGCGCGUAGGCGGGUGUUUAAGUCUGAUGUGAAAGCCCACGGCUCAACCGGGGAGGGUCAUUGGAAACUGGAAAACUUGAGUGCAGAAGAGGAAAGUGGAAUUCCAUGUGUAGCGGUGAAAUGCGCAGAGAUAUGGAGGAACACCAGUGGCGAAGGCGACUUUCUGGUCUGUAACUGACGCUGAUGUGCGAAAGCGUGGGGAUCAAACAGG